GAAGGUCGAGAAAAGUCUCUAUGACGACGAUUUUUCAAAAAUUGGUUCAUGGUGUCUAAUAAAUAGAAAAGAAGAUGGUACAAAUGUGUUUGUAGCACAACAUGAUGAUGUUGGAGGUAUGUUUCCGGUUCCAAUUGAGCAGCUAGGGUUUGUUUGUGAGAGAGAGAGCUUCUUUGGUGUGAGAGAGAUUAUGUUGAACAAAUGAGGUGUUAGAGAAUAGAGAGAU
This 226-nucleotide long non-coding RNA is filed under the name Trifolium pratense (red clover). RNAcentral's name for it is "long non-coding RNA (TPRA_LNC007465)". The record is from RNAcentral. Lineage: Eukaryota; Viridiplantae; Streptophyta; Magnoliopsida; Fabales; Fabaceae.